GGCCAGAUAGCUCAGUAGGUAGAGCAGAGGACUGAAAAUCCUUGUGUCGCUGGUUCGAUUCCAGUUCUGGCCA
Molecule: transfer RNA, 73 nt
Filed under: Chlamydiae bacterium RIFCSPHIGHO2_12_FULL_49_11
Lineage: Bacteria; Pseudomonadati; Chlamydiota
Description: tRNA-Phe
Rfam family: tRNA
About the family: Transfer RNA (tRNA) molecules are approximately 80 nucleotides in length.
Source: RNAcentral